GGAAGGUUCGAACACUUUCUGUACUAUUCGACUAUUUUACUCUCGAUCUCAGGCACUAGGUUUUAUGGAUUUUUAAUUAUUUUAAUCUCGGUUUGACUUUGAGCACUUAUUACACAUACUUACCUUUGGCACUAGACGAAGUGGAUUGUUUAUGGAUUUUUGAAAGUUUUGGUUCGAGCAGAUGGUAUGUACAGAUAUCUCGAGUCCCCUAUGAGUCCCUCUAUCUAGGAACUAUGUACCAAAAGAGGGGAUACCCUAUAAGUCCUAUCUUGCGUGCCAGCAAGAUGAAGGAGGUGUAUAUACUUGGUAUGAUACACACACAAUUGACAUGACAAUAUUGGAUUUACUUUGCAUUUAAUCUAUUCAUAUGCAUUGAUUAUCACCAAUAUGUUUGUUUGUUUUUUGUACCUACUGAAUUUAUGAGGGCCUAGUUAGUUCAUGUUUGCUUUUGUGUACCUUCUUAGCUUAUGGGGCUCCGAAUAGAUUAUCGUUUGUUCUAGCUUAUGGGGCUCCGAAUAGAUUAUCUUUUGUUCUAGCUUAUCCUACUGUAUUAUUUUUUGGAUAUUAUUUUAUAGUUCAUGGCAGGUUUGAUCAUGGAUUUAUAUCCGAAGUUGCAGGUACGCUUCUGAGUUCUUUCGAUAUAAUGAACCUUUUGAAUAUUCAUAUUGCAGGUUAUACUUUUUUAUUGUGCUAGAGAAUGUUUCUUUCUUGCUUAUAACCCUAGCAAGAUUUAGGUUGUUACGCCAGCUUCCUCAGGUUAGUACCUUCUUGUUUAGCCUCAUAUACAGUACUGUUGUAUAUUCAUUUCUUUUCUAGCUACUCUUUUGUAUAUCUCUUUUUUCAUACUACUAUGAUAGAUUUUUUAGCUACUAUUAUAUAUCACUUUUGUCCCUAGUUACUGGUGGAAAAUGGUAGUUUAUCUUUCUCUCUCUAUUAUCUUUAUUGUAUUUUGUUUCUUAGUUAGUUGUUGUAAUGUUUAUUCUUGUAUUAUGUGUUACUUAUAUUUGCAUUAUCUUUAAAUCUCAGUCGUCCAAUACCUACUGAGUACCUCAUGUAAACUGAGCAUAACCAUUUUCUAUAUGAAAAAAGUAGGAAUAGCUGAACACCUUGAUAUAACAUAAUGAAUAUCUAAAACAUCAAUAAACUGAAGGACUAAUACUAUGCAUUAACUGGGCAUCUGAACUGCUAAAAACAUAUGAAAGUUCUGAAAAUAUGGUUGUUUGAGUUAUGGGAAAAUGCUAUAUGACUGAAUCAUAAAAGGAUAUGAAUCAUAAGAAACUGAAAGUGAAAGUGUUUUUAAUGUUUUUGCUUAAAACUGAAGAGGCCUUAGGCCAAAAUCAUGCUUAACUAAAAAUUCUAAGUUUCCUAGUUUGGGAGUUUCUUAUAAUCGGUAUACGCCACGUGGGAGUUUCUUGACAUCAACAAGAUUCUUUUUGUUGCUAUCCUAGAACCAAUGGUAAGCAAAGAAAAGAUAAAUGGCUAUAAAAAAUUCUUGGGAUUCUAGGAGUGUAUAUCUAAUGAUAAUGGUCAGAUUUGGUGUCUUUGGAAGACUAUUGGUCACACGUCUAUUAUUAUCAAUGAUGAUCAACAAAUUAACAUUAAGUUGGAGGAUACAUUGAACAAUAACUUCACUUCUAUCUCUUAUAUUUAUGCUAAAUACACAUUAGUAGAGAGACAAGAUCUUUGGAAUGGUUUGGAUUCAACUAGUAUGGUUAUUAACGACCCGUGGUGCAUUGAAGGGGAUUUUAAUGUCAUUAUUUACCCAGGGGAGAAGAUUGGUGGAAAGCCUCACAAAAUGUAUAAGAGUAUUGACUUCUUGAACUGCAUGGACAAUUGUGGUGUCACUGAUAUUGGUUUCUGAGGUCCUAAAUUUACUUGGUGCAAUAAUAGAAGACCAAGACAAAGAAUUUGGAAGAUACUUGAUAAGGUCUUUAUUAAUGAUAAAUGAGCCAGUUUGUUCCAGAAUACCACUGUUAAUCACCUCGCGAGGAUAGGUUCGGAUCACAGACCUCUUUUUAUAAAAUGUUUUAAUACUAAUCAAAAAAUUUAUCAAGUAUUUCAAGUUCCUCAACUUCUAGACCAAACAAGAUGGCUUUAUCAACAUUGGCAAAGAGACUUGGGAUACUCAGAUCAUAGGUAAUAACAUGUGGAGACUUCAGUCUAAAUUGAAAUUAAUUAGCAGGAAGCACAGCCAGUGGUAAAAAAACACCAUAAAGGAUGUUCAUGAUCAAGUACCCAAAUGGGAAGAAAAGAUCUAGGAUCUUGAGGAGCAAAAUAUUAUCAACAACUCAAAUAUUGAUAUAGAGAAGUCCAAUAAAGCACACACGGAGUAGUCAAGUGGACCAAUAUGCAAAAUUCCUUAACCAAACAAGCAGCUAAUGUAAAGUGGUUUGAGGAGGGAGAUUGUAAUACUAAUUAUUUUCAUAGCAUGCUCAGGGAGAAAAGAAGGAAAUUACAGCUGAAUACGAUAAAGAAUCACAAUGGUAAUUGGAUCCAUGGUGAGGACAAGAUCGUAAAAGCGUCUGUGAAAUACUUCAACUCUCUUUUCAACCUUCCUCCUACCACUUUGGACACUAACAUUUUGGAUUGCAUCACUAAAAAUAUUACAGAUGAAUACAAUGACAUCCUUAGUGCAAUCUCUACAGAGGAUGAAAUUAGGAAUGUUGUGUUCAAUCUGUCUGCUACUAGUACUUCUGGUCCAGACGGUUACAAUGGAACCUUUUUCCAUUGUUGUUAGGACAUCAUUAAGGAAGAUAUAAUUUCCUUUGUGAUUGAUUUUUUCAAGGUAAAUCUAUAUAAAUUAUAUUCACAUUCUUGCCAUGUGCUUAUUCUUAAAAUUGACAAUCCUAUCACUUUGUCUGAUUUUAGGCCUAUAAGUCUCUCUAAUUUGACUAGCAAAAUAAUCCAUUAAACUGAUGUUCCAAAGGAAAAAGGUGUCAAACUUGGUUUAACAGGUACUAACAAAAUAAUCUCUCAAUUUUGUCUAUUAGAUUGAAUCCUUUAUUAGCUAUGCUCAUCUCUCUUAAUCAAACUAGUUUUGUUAAAGAUAGACUUAUUACUGAGAACAUCCUUCUUGCUCAAGAAAUCAUCAAUCCAUUUCUGAUUCUAGUAAGGGUGGUAAUGUAGUAAUUAAAUUGUAUAAGGCCAAAGCAAACGAUAGAAUGUCUUGGCAUUUUGUCACUUCAGUUCUUAGGAAAUUUGGGUUUGCAGAAUCUUGGAUUAACAUAAUUCUUAAUCUUAUUUCUAGUAAUUGGAAUUCGACAUUAUCAAUGGCUCCAGGAGGGGUUUUUCUCCUCAACACAAGUACUCAAAUAAGGUGAUCAAAAUAAGUACCAUUGGAGAUAUUGGAAGAACCUAUGCUUCCCUCUUGAUGAAGGAGGUGUUGGUAUCAGAAGAAUGAUAGACAUUGGCAACACUCUAGCAGCCAAGAGUUGGUGGAGGUUCAUAACUAUUCCAUCCCUCUGGGAAACCUUUCUUAAAAACAAAUAUUGUAUUAAAGCACAUUGUCCUGUUAAAUCUUGUGUAUCUAGAAACUCUCACUCUUGGCAAAAGGUGCUUCAGGUGAGAGGUAAAAUAGAGCCUCAUAUCCAUUGGAAAAUUAAUUCUGGAAAUGCUAGUCUAUGGUGGGACAAUUGGACAAAAUUGGGUCCAUUAGAAACUCUUUUUCCAAGUGCAAGAAAGAGUACUAAGGACUUGGUCAGUCUCCUAUUUCACAAUGGAAAAUAGAAUAAUCACUUCAUGGAUCUUUUGCCAGAUAGUAUUUCUCAACACAUCAAGAGCAUUAGAAUUGGUAAUCAUGAUUUACCUGAUGAAGCUUAUUGGGAUCUUACAGGGGAUGGUAAAUAUUAUAAUAAAUCUUCUCUCCAGUUAUUCUGUAACACAAAGAGUAAAAAUAUUUUCCUUAACAAGGUUUGGCAUACUAGCAUACCUUUUAAAUUCUCUUUUCUAACAUGAAGGGCUUGUUAUCUAAACUGCCCUUUGAUGAUAUUGUAUCUAAAUUUGAAAAAUAGAUUGAUACUUUAUGUAAUUGUUGUACUAACUCUGUACCAGAGAUCAUUCAACAUGUCUUUAUUGAGAGUGAUGUAGCUAGGUACAUUUGGAAGACCAUUGGAUCCCCCCUAGGGAUUAUUCACCAGUUAUUGCCACUAAGAGGACUGCUUAAUCAUUGGUGGGAG
Molecule: long non-coding RNA, 4175 nt
Organism: Capsicum annuum
Lineage: Eukaryota; Viridiplantae; Streptophyta; Magnoliopsida; Solanales; Solanaceae
Exons: 2
Source: RefSeq, a predicted model, not a curated record